This 104-nucleotide microRNA precursor is filed under the name Canis lupus familiaris (dog). RNAcentral describes it as "mir-8834 microRNA precursor family". It matches the Rfam family "mir-8834 microRNA precursor family". RNAcentral also lists the same sequence under 1 other name. Lineage: Eukaryota; Metazoa; Chordata; Mammalia; Carnivora; Canidae. The record is from Rfam by way of RNAcentral.
AGGAGGAACAGCCCCAGUGGCGGGGCAGCUCUGGAAACCUGGAUUCAACCCCCGCAGGAACUCCGGAGCUCUCCGUCUGCAGGGCCUGGAGGCUCCGGGCGGGG